CUAAUGUGCCCUCCGUCCGAAAAUACUUGUCAUCAAAAUAGAUAAAAGGAGAUGUAUCUAGAUGGAUUUUAGUUAUAUAUACAUUCUUUUUCAUCCAUUUUGAUGACAAGUAUUUUCGGACAGAAGGAGUAGUUU
Non-coding RNA from Triticum aestivum (bread wheat), 135 nucleotides. NCBI's taxonomy places the organism in Eukaryota, Viridiplantae, Streptophyta, Magnoliopsida, Poales, Poaceae. The record is from Rfam.